RNAcentral lists this ribosomal RNA (482 nucleotides) under uncultured bacterium. Its description in RNAcentral is "partial 16S ribosomal RNA". It matches the Rfam family "Bacterial small subunit ribosomal RNA", at positions 30 to 507 of the family's 1533-position model. The record is from RNAcentral.
AUUGAACGCUGGCGGCAUGCCUUACACAUGCAAGUCGAACGGUAACGGGCCUUCGGGUGCCGACGAGUGGCGAACGGGUGAGUAAUACAUCGGAACGUGCCCGAUCGUGGGGGAUAACGAGGCGAAAGCUUUGCUAAUACCGCAUACGAUCUACGGAUGAAAGCAGGGGACCGCAAGGCCUUGCGCGGACGGAGCGGCCGAUGGCAGAUUAGGUAGUUGGUGGGAUAAAAGCUUACCAAGCCGACGAUCUGUAGCUGGUCUGAGAGGAUGAUCAGCCACACUGGGACUGAGACACGGCCCAGACUCCUACGGGAGGCAGCAGUGGGGAAUUUUGGACAAUGGGCGCAAGCCUGAUCCAGCCAUGCCGCGUGAAGGAUGAAGGCCUUCGGGUUGUAAACUGCUUUUGUACGGAACGAAAAGCCUUCUUUUAAUACAGGAGGGUCAUGACGGUACCGUAAGAAUAAGCACCGGCUAACUACGUG